This 496-nucleotide ribosomal RNA is filed under the name uncultured bacterium. RNAcentral's name for it is "partial 16S ribosomal RNA". It matches the Rfam family "Bacterial small subunit ribosomal RNA", at positions 29 to 507 of the family's 1533-position model. The record is from RNAcentral.
AUGCACGCUGGCGGCGUGCCUAAUACAUGCAAGUCGAGCGAACAGACGAGGAGCUUGCUCCUCUGACGUUAGCGGCGGACGGGUGAGUAACACGUGGAUAACCUACCUAUAAGACUGGGAUAACUUCGGGAAACCGGAGCUAAUACCGGAUAAUAUAUUGAACCGCAUGGUUCAAUAGUGAAAGACGGUUUUGCUGUCACUUAUAGAUGAAUCCGCGCCGCAUUAGCUAGUUGGUAAGGUAACGGCUUACCAAGGCAACGAUGCGUAGCCGACCUGAGAGGGUGAUCGGCCACACUGGAACUGAGACACGGUCCAGACUCCUACGGGAGGCAGCAGUAGGGAAUCUUCCGCAAUGGGCGAAAGCCUGACGGAGCAACGCCGCGUGAGUGAUGAAGGUCUUCGGAUCGUAAAACUCUGUUAUUAGGGAAGAACAAAUGUGUAAGUAACUAUGCACGUCUUGACGGUACCUAAUCAGAAAGCCACGGCUAACUACGUG